Molecule: small nucleolar RNA, 131 nt
Organism: Apodemus sylvaticus (European woodmouse)
Lineage: Eukaryota; Metazoa; Chordata; Mammalia; Rodentia; Muridae
Product: small nucleolar RNA SNORA49
Exons: 1
Source: RefSeq, a predicted model, not a curated record
AAUCCUCAGCCUUACUCCAGGGGCUUCUUGCCUGUAGAGUGCUCUGGCAUUGUCUGAGGAUAGAGAAGAAAGCACAGCUCCCUCCCUAGCAAGACUGCUUUCUUGUGGGGCCUACAGUUUGGGCUGACAGC